RNAcentral lists this ribosomal RNA (1058 nucleotides) under uncultured organism. RNAcentral describes it as "bacterial SSU rRNA". It matches the Rfam family "Bacterial small subunit ribosomal RNA", at positions 389 to 1426 of the family's 1533-position model. The record is from RNAcentral.
CAGCGACGCCGCGUGUAGGAUGAAGUCCUUCGGGAUGUAAACUACUGUCAGGGACCACCAAGCGAUUGUGAUUAAUACCCCCAUGAGUUGAGGAAUCCCAGAGGACGUCACGGCUAACUUCGUGCCAGCAGGCGCGGUAAUACGAAGGUGGCAAGCGUUGUUCGGACUCACUGUGCUUANAGAGCACGUAGGCGGAUUUUCAAGCGUCAUGUGAAAUUCCUCGGGUCAACCGGGGACGUGCAUGGCGAACUGUUGAUCUUGAGGCGUGGAGGUGCCAAGUGGAACUCUUGCUGGAGCGGUUGGAAUGCGUAGAUAUCAAGAGGUACACCCGUAGGCGAAACCGGCUUGCUGGCCCCCGCUCUGACGCUGUAGGUGCGAAAUUCAAGGGUAACAAACGGGACUAGAUACCCCGGUAGUCCGGACCGUUAACGAUGUGCACUAGCUUGAAGCUUUUGACGAACUUUCCGGCCAAAAUGAUAACAUUAAGUGCACCGCGCUGGAAAGUACGGUCGCAAAGGCUUUAACUCAAAGGAAUUGACGGGGGCUCACACAAGCGGUGGAGCAUGUUGCUCAAGUCGAUGCAACGCGAAGAACCUUAUCCUGGGCUGGACAGGUUCGGAUGCCUUCUGCGGAAACGUGAAAGGCUGCCUUCGGGUGAAACGGUCACAGGUGCUGCAUGCCGGUCGUCAGCUCGUGUCGUGAGAUGUUGGNUUGAGUCCCGUAACGAGCGAAACCCUGGUCACUAGUUGCCAGCGCGUAAUGGCGGGGACUCUAGUGAGACUGCCGGUGUUAAACCGGAGGAAGGUGGGGAUGACGUCAAGUCCUCAUGGCCUUUAUGCCCAGGGCUGCAAACGUGCCACAAUGGCGUGUACAAACCGACGCGAGACCGAGAGGUGGAGCAAAUCGGUAAAAGCACGCCUCAGUUCGGAUUGGAGUCUGCAACUCGACUCCAUGAAGUCGGAAUCGCUAGUAAUCGCGUAUCAGCGCGACGCGGUGAAUGUGUUCCUGAGCCUUGUACACACCGCCCGUCAAGUCAUGGAAGUCGGGAGUACCCGAAG